UUAUAACUGAAAAAUGUGAUGC
This 22-nucleotide non-coding RNA is filed under the name Arabidopsis thaliana (thale cress). Lineage: Eukaryota; Viridiplantae; Streptophyta; Magnoliopsida; Brassicales; Brassicaceae. The record is from RNAcentral.